RNAcentral lists this ribosomal RNA (502 nucleotides) under uncultured bacterium. RNAcentral's name for it is "bacterial SSU rRNA". It matches the Rfam family "Bacterial small subunit ribosomal RNA", at positions 32 to 507 of the family's 1533-position model. The record is from RNAcentral.
AACAACGCUGGCGGCGUGCCUAACACAUGCAAGUCGUACGAGAAAGUCGGCUUCGGCCGAUGAGUACAGUGGCGCACGGGUGAGUAGCGCGUGGGUAAUCUGCCCCCCGGUCAGGAAUAACCCGCCGAAAGGCGGGCUAAUACCCGAUAACACUGACGCUCCGCGGAGCGUCUUUCAAAGAAGGCCUCUGUUUACAAGCUUUCGCCGGAGGAUGAGCCCGCGUACCAUUAGCUAGUUGGCAGGGUAAUGGCCUACCAAGGCUACGAUGGUUAGCUGGUCUGAGAGGAUGGCCAGCCACACUGGAACUGAGACACGGUCCAGACUCCUACGGGAGGCAGCAGUGAGGAAUCUUGCGCAAUGGGGGAAACCCUGACGCAGCAACGCCGCGUGAGUGAGGAAGGCCUUCGGGUCGUAAAGCUCUGUCAGAUGGGAAGAAAUGGAUGGGGGCUAAUAUCGCCCAUCCUUGACGGUACCAUCAGAGGAAGCACCGGCUAACUCCGUG